This 339-nucleotide unclassified non-coding RNA is filed under the name soil metagenome. RNAcentral describes it as "partial contains 5.8S ribosomal RNA, internal transcribed spacer 2, and large subunit ribosomal RNA". The stretch from base 1 to 120 matches the Rfam family "5.8S ribosomal RNA", at positions 35 to 154 of the family's 154-position model. The record is from RNAcentral.
GAUGAAGAACGUAGCGAAAUGCGAUAAGUAGUGUGAAUUGCAGAAUUCAGUGAAUCAUCGAAUCUUUGAACGCACAUUGCGCCCCUUGGUAUUCCAUGGGGCACGCCUGUUCGAGCGUCAUUUGUACCCUCAAGCUCUGCUUGGUGUUGGGUGUUUGUUCCGCCUCUGUGUGUGAACUCGCCUCAAAACAAUUGGCAGCCGGCGUACUUGUUUCGGAGCGCAGCACAUUUUGCGAUCCAGAUCAACGUACAGCGGCAUCCAAGAAGCCUUAUUUAACGCUCUUGACCUCGGAUCAGGUAGGGAUACCCGCUGAACUUAAGCAUAUCAAUAAGCGGAGGA